Molecule: long non-coding RNA, 276 nt
Organism: Drosophila miranda
Lineage: Eukaryota; Metazoa; Arthropoda; Insecta; Diptera; Drosophilidae
Exons: 2
Source: RefSeq, a predicted model, not a curated record
AGAAACUCUGCCUUCACCUGAUCCAAGGCUGCCCUUUGCUCUUCUGACAACUCCCAUUUUUCCUGCACUAUCUCAUUCUCCGGGCCUUCCACAUAGUGAGCGACUUGAUCAGCCAGCACUUCUUCCACUAAUCUGUGAGAUGCCCCUACUGGACCUUCUCCCAUCACCUCAGGAGCCAAUGAGAAUACCCGCCAAAAGUCUACCCCCAAAAGAAUAUCGACGAGCCUCCACGCCCAGCUUCUCCAGGAAUUCCUGACCAUUACACCCUAGCAUGCU